Molecule: ribosomal RNA, 372 nt
Filed under: uncultured bacterium
Lineage: Bacteria
Description: bacterial SSU rRNA
Rfam family: Bacterial small subunit ribosomal RNA
Source: RNAcentral
AUACGUAGGGGGCGAGCGUUGUCCGGAAUGACUGGGCGUAAAGGGUACGUAGGCGGCUAGACAAGUCAGAUGUGAAAGGCGCAGGCUUAACCUGUGUAAGCAUUUGAAACUGUUUAGCUUGAGUUAAGGAGAGGAAAGUGGAAUUCCUGGUGUAGCGGUGAAAUGCGUAGAUAUCAGGAGGAAUACCAGUGGCGAAGGCGACUUUCUGGACUUAUACUGACGCUGAGGUACGAAAGCGUGGGGAGCAAACAGGAUUAGAUACCCUGGUAGUCCACGCCGUAAACGAUGAGUGCUAGGUGUCGGGGGUCAAACCUCGGUGCCGGAGUUAACACAUUAAGCACUCCGCCUGGGGAGUACGUUCGCAAGAAUGAA